UGGUGGGUUAAAGCCUACCAAGGCGACGAUCGUAGCCAUCGAGAGAAUGAUCGCCACACUGGACUGAGAACACGCCCAGACUCCUACGGGAGGCAGCAGUGGGGAAUAUGACAUGGCCGAAGCCUGAUCCAGCCAUGCCGCGUGUGUGAAGAAGGCCUUUUGGUUGUAAAGCACUUUAGCGAGGAGGAGGCUACUAGUACUAAUACUACUGGAUAGUGGACGUUACUCGCAGAAUAAGCACCGGCUAACUCUGUGCCAGCAGCCGCGGUAAUACAGAGGGUGCGAGCGUUAAUCGGAUUUACUGGGCGUAAAGCGUGCGUAGGCGGCUUUUUAAGUCGGAUGUGAAAUCCCCGAGCUUAACUUGGGAAUUGCAUUCGAUACUGGGAAGCUAGAGUAUGGGAGAGGAUGGUAGAAUUCCAGGUGUAGCGGUGAAAUGCGUAGAGAUCUGGAGGAAUACCGAUGGCGAAGGCAGCCAUCUGGCCUAAUACUGACGCUGAGGUACGAAAGCAUGGGGAGCAAACAGGAUUAGAUACCCUGGUAGUCCAUGCCGUAAACGAUGUCUACUAGCCGUUGGGGCCUUUGAGGCUUUAGUGGCGCAGCUAACGCGAUAAGUAGACCGCCUGGGGAGUACGGUCGCAAGACUAAAACUCAAAUGAAUUGACGGGGGCCCGCACAAGCGGUGGAGCAUGUGGUUUAAUUCGAUGCAACGCGAAGAACCUUACCUGGUCUUGACAUAGUAAGAACUUUCCAGAGAUGGAUUGGUGCCUUCGGGAACUUACAUACAGGUGCUGCAUGGCUGUCGUCAGCUCGUGUCGUGAGAUGUUGGGUUAAGUCCCGCAACGAGCGCAACCCUUUUCCUUAUUUGCCAGCGGGUUAAGCCGGGAACUUUAAGGAUACUGCCAGUGACAAACUGGAGGAAGGCGGGGACGACGUCAAGUCAUCAUGGCCCUUACGACCAGGGCUACACACGUGCUACAAUGGUCGGUACAAAGGGUUGCUACCUAGCGAUAGGAUGCUAAUCUCAAAAAGCCGAUCGUAGUCCGGAUUGGAGUCUGCAACUCGACUCCAUGAAGUCGGAAUCGCUAGUAAUCGCGGAUCAGAAUGCCGCGGUGAAUACGUUCCCGGGCCUUGUACACACCGCCCGUCACACCAUGGGAGUUUGUUGCACCAGAAGUAGGUAGUCUAACCGUAAGGAGGACGCUACCACGGUUCUAGGGAUCACA
Molecule: ribosomal RNA, 1223 nt
Filed under: Acinetobacter sp.
Lineage: Bacteria; Pseudomonadati; Pseudomonadota; Gammaproteobacteria; Moraxellales; Moraxellaceae
Description: bacterial SSU rRNA
Rfam family: Bacterial small subunit ribosomal RNA
Source: RNAcentral